GCCAUGCACGGUAGCACGUGCCUGUAGUCCCAGCUACUCGGGAGGCUGUGGGAGGAUCCCUUGAGUCCAGGAGUUCUGGGCUGUAGUGGGCUAUGCUGAUCAGGUGUCUGCACUAACUUCGGCAUCAAUAUGGUAACCUCCCGGGAGCGGAGGACCACCAGGUUGCCUAAGGAGGGGUGAACCGGCCCAGGUCGGAAACGGAGCAGGUCAAAACUCCUGUGCUAAUCAGUAGUGGGUUCGCGCCUGUGAAUAGCCACUGCACUGCAGCCUGGGCAACAUACUGAGACCCCGUCU
RNAcentral lists this signal recognition particle RNA (294 nucleotides) under Saimiri boliviensis boliviensis (Bolivian squirrel monkey). RNAcentral describes it as "Metazoan signal recognition particle RNA (ENSSBOG00000002888.1)". It matches the Rfam family "Metazoan signal recognition particle RNA". From Rfam's summary of the family: The signal recognition particle (SRP) is a universally conserved ribonucleoprotein. It is involved in the co-translational targeting of proteins to membranes. The record is from Rfam by way of RNAcentral. Lineage: Eukaryota; Metazoa; Chordata; Mammalia; Primates; Cebidae.